GAUGAACGCUGGCGGCGUGCCUAAUACAUGCAAGUCGAGCGAACGGACGAGAAGCUUGCUUCUCUGAUGUUAGCGGCGGACGGGUGAUUAACACGUGGAUAACCUACCUAUAAGACUGGGAUAACUUCGGGAAACCGUAGCUAAUACCGGAUAAUUUUUUGAACCGCAUGGUUCAAAAGUUAAAGACGGUCUUGCUUUCACUUAUAGAUUGAUCCGCGCUGCAUUAGCUAGUUGUUAAGGUAACUGCUUACCAAGGCAACGAUGCAUAGCCGACCUGAAAGGGUCAACGGCCACCCUGGAACAGAGACAGGGUCGAGACACCUAGGGGAGGAAGCAGCCGGGACUCUUACGCGAUGGAGGAGAGGCGGACAUAGCAAAGCGGCGUGAGUGCUGAAGGUCUUAGGCUGGGAGAGCGAUGUUAUCCGGGAAGAACAUAAGUGUAAGUACCCGUGAUGAUCAUGACGGUACCUAAAGAGAAAGCCCCGGCUAACUCCGUG
This 497-nucleotide ribosomal RNA is filed under the name uncultured bacterium. RNAcentral describes it as "partial 16S ribosomal RNA". It matches the Rfam family "Bacterial small subunit ribosomal RNA", at positions 28 to 507 of the family's 1533-position model. The record is from RNAcentral.